GACGAACCGUGCAAACGUUUGUUCGGAAUCACUGGGCUUAAAGGGCGCGUAGGCGGCUCGCCAAGUCGGGGGUGAAAUCUUUCGGCUCAACCGGAAAAGUGCCUUCGAUACUGGCGGGCUGGAGGGAGGUAGGGGCAUGUGGAACUUCCGGUGGAGCGGUGAAAUGCGUUGAUAUCGGAAGGAACGCCGGUGGCGAAAGCGACGUGCUGGACCUCUUCUGACGCUGAGGCGCGAAAGCUAGGGGAGCGAACGGG
Molecule: ribosomal RNA, 254 nt
Filed under: uncultured bacterium
Lineage: Bacteria
Description: partial 16S ribosomal RNA
Rfam family: Bacterial small subunit ribosomal RNA
Source: RNAcentral